GCAGGUCCGUCACUGUUUGUCUCUGCAGCAGAAGUGUAAAUGGUGACUCUGUUACAGCGCUGUUCUUUGUCUUUUUCGGAAGUCAAGGCAGAGAGCCACAGUCAAGGCCAAGUAGGCAAGGUGGUCCACUUGCCAUCUCUCCUGGCCGAGCAUGCCCGAUGUCAGGUGCUGUCACCGCUCCAGGCAUGCCAAAGAACAGAGGAGAGCAGGUAUCCUUUGAGCAGCCUCUGGAGUAGAAUCAGGAUUUGAGGUACCCGGAGGAGGUUUGCAGCCAAAGUUUGGAAACGGCAGCACCGAAGCAAACACGGAGAACGUCCCGACGUCCACGUACAACCGACGAUGGAUUUUGUCCGCUCGUCUUCCAAAAGCUAAGUGUCGCGGCCAGUAGUUGGGAGAAGGGGAAAAACCUUUAGUAUCACAGGGGGCAAUUUGAUGUCAGUUUAGCGCAGAGGUCUGUAGCGGGACGGGCUCUCUGGAAGCAAAGGGAGAGGGUUUCUCCUCAGCCUCACCACAGCCUCUGCCGGGCAGGGCAGUUCCGACCCAUCUCCACAUUGUCGUAAACUUUGCGUCGUCAGCCUUCUUCAACUCGACAUCGUCACGGAUCUUUCGCCCGAGGAGUUCGCCUUCAGGUCCGGAGCUACGGCCACGGUCAACCGGCGGUCUCCGCUUCCUUCUCUAGGCCCACCGAGCCUCUCGAGCGUCCUCUUAACCGCUUCGGCGCUAACUUCGUUUAACGAGUUACAUUUCAUCAUUACAUCCUAUCGUCAUACGGCUUUCUUUCCUUUUGCAUCAUCAGCCCCCGGCUCAUCUUGCGCUAGCAAUCUCGGGUCCAUAAGGUGAAAGCGCCAGGCAGUUUCCACUUGUCUCUCCGUUACAUCAUCCGUGUCUAUGUUACGUCAUCCAUGUCCGUGUUACGUAGUCUGUCUCCACCGUCUUCCAUGUCGUAGGCCUUCGUUCCAUCCCAGCUCUUUACGGGCACUAUUUCUUGCCAUAUCGGCCGUAUUUUACACACAUUCCUUCACUUAUUCCGGCAUCUUUAAAUCUUUACUCUUUGAGACAGGAAGGAUUACACAAGAUGUCCUCAUCCAUCUUCCUUCUCGCUACCGGCUUUGGUAGCGCCUUUUCCUCCACGCCAUUCUCUUGGACUUUUAGAGGGAGUGUCUUACACCCUCCUCACGUGACCGCAGUAGUUCUCUAGGUUCCAUCUUCUCAAAGGGUAUAGGGCUCAAGAAUUAAUCUUUCAGAGAGUUAUGUCAAGUCCUGGCUUAUACCUUAUCUACCUGUGUUGGCUUAUACUCUGUGUACUUAUACUGUAUCUACCUGCGUUGGCUUAUAUUGUAUGUACUCUAUAUUGUCUGUACCUAUGUUGGCUUAUAGUGUAUGUACUUAUAUUGUCUGUACCUAUGUUGGCUUAUAUUGUCUGUAAUUAUGUUGGCUUAUAGUGUCUGUACCUUUAGUGUCUGUACCUAUGUUGGCUUAUAGUGUCUGUACCUAUGUUGGCUGUCCCUAUGUUGGCUUAUAGUGUCUGUACCUAUGCUGGCUUAUAGUGUCUGUACCUAUGUUGGCUGUACCUAUGUUGGCUUAUAGUGUCUGUACCUAUGCUGGCUGUACCUAUGUUGGCUUAUAGUGUCUGUACCUAUGUUGGCUUAUAGUGUCUGUACCUAUGUUGGCUUAUAGUGUCUGUACUUAUAGUGUCUGUACCUAUGUUGGCUUAUAGUGUCUGUACUUAUAGUGUCUGUACCUAUGUUGGCUUAUAGUGUCUGUACCUAUGUUGGCUUAUAGUGUCUGUACUUAUAGUGUCUGUACCUAUGUUGGCUGUACCUAUGUUGGCUUAUAGUUUAUGUACUUGUAUUGUCUGUAAUUACACCAUACGUACACUUGCACCGUAUGCGUCGGCUUAUAUCGUGUUUACUUAUUUUGUACCUGUUACGAUUGGAGCUGCCCUGCCCUGGCACGUAGUCACAGCUAGGUAGAACAGUUACGAAAACUUUACCGCUCAUCUGUCUUCUAUGGGAUUUUGGGUAGAAAUUUUAUCGGUCCAGAGUGGGGACAAGUCCUAGCUGUCAGCCCCUUGUUGACCACUUCCUCUCGUCUCGCAGGUCCCCGAGCCUACCGAUUUCUCCCCGGAAUCUACCAUUUGACAUCGAGGAGCAGCAGCCAGAAGACGCGUCGAAGCACGUUCUCCAGCGUUUCAAGUAAGGGCCGCAGUGAGCAUUCAAGUCGGAAGCGUGCGAGAGCACGUGGCCGUCUGUGUCCGCUCGUCUCCGCACGUGUGAGUGCACCCUGACUGGAACUAACCUUGUGUGUAUGACCUUUUGCCUUUCAGGUUUUUCAACUCAUUUUUAAAUUUAGAAUAAAAAAUCCCCAGCCGGGGGUUUUUUUUUUUUUCCCCCCGGCUGGGUUUUUUUUUCCUCGGUCCCGGCCGGUCCGCGAGGCGACGUUCAUCGCCAAAGUUUGGGCGCGGACCGUCCAGGGGCCGGGGUUUUCGUCAGGCAGGAGGAUUGUUUUUUGGAGGCUCCCGGGAACCCCGUUCCCGAAGAGCGCUACGAAUGAGUGCCGGGGGUUAGCAGAGGGAUUUAACAUGUGAGUGAGCGUGGUUUUGUGUGUAAGCUGAAGGAAGUGUGUGUGUGUGUGUUGAAGGUUUCUAACACCUUGUAUGACUUUUGCCUUUCAGGUUUUUCAACUCAUUUUUAAAUUUAGAAUAAAAAAUCCCCAGCCGGGGGGUUUUUUUUUUUUUCCCCCCGGCUGGGUUUUUUUUUCCUCGGUCCCGGCCGGUCCGCGAGGCGACGUUCAUCGCCAAAGUUUGGGCGCGGACCGUCCAGGGGCCGGGGUUUUCGUCAGGCAGGAGGAUUGUUUUUUGGAGGCUCCCGGGAACCCCGUUCCCGAAGAGCGCUACGAAUGAGUGCCGGGGAUUAGCAGAGGGAUUUAACAUGUGAGUGAGCGUGGUUUUGUGUGUAAGCUGAAGGAAGUGUGUGUGUGUGUGUUGAAGGUUUCUAACACCUUGUAUGACUUUUGCCUUUCAGGUUUUUCAACUCAUUUUUAAAUUUAGAAUAAAAAAUCCCCAGCCGGGGGGUUUUUUUUUUUUUUUCCCCCCGGCUGGGUUUUUUUUCCUCGGUCCCGGCCGGUCCGCGAGGCGACGUUCAUCGCCAAAGUUUGGGCGCGGACCGUCCAGGGGCCGGGGUUUUCGUCAGGCAGGAGGAUUGUUUUUUGGAGGCUCCCGGGAACCCCGUUCCCGAAGAGCGCUACGAAUGAGUGCCGGGGGUUAGCAGAGGGAUUUAACAUGUGAGUGAGCGUGGUUUUGUGUGUAAGCUGAAGGAAGUGUGUGUGUGUGUGUUGAAGGUUUCUAACACCUUGUAUGACUUUUGCCUUUCAGGUUUUUCAACUCAUUUUUAAAUUUAGAAUAAAAAAUCCCCAGCCGGGGGGUUUUUUUUUUUUCCCCCCGGCUGGGUUUUUUUUUCCUCGGUCCCGGCCGGUCCGCGAGGCGACGUUCAUUGCCAAAGUUUGGGCGCGGACUGUCCAAGGACCGGGGUUUUCGUCAGGCAGGAGGAUUUUUUUGGAGGCUCCCGGGAACAGUGUUCCCGAGGAGCGCUGCGAAUGAGUGCCAUGGGUUAGCAGAGCUGUUGAGGUGUGAGUGAGGGUGGUUUUGUGCGUAAGCUGAAGGAAGCGUGUGUGUUGAAGGUUUCUAACACCUUGUAUGACUUUUGCCUUUCAGGUUUUUCAACUCAUUUUUAAAUUUAGAAUAAAAAAUCCCCAGCCGGGGGGUUUUUUUUUUUUUCCCCCCGGCUGGGUUUUUUUUUCCUCGGUCCCGGCCGGUCCGCGAGGCGACGUUCAUCGCCAAAGUUUGGGCGCGGACCUCCAGGGACCGGGGUUUUCGUCAGGCAGGAGGAUUUUUUGGAGGCUUCUGGGAACAGUGUUCCCGGGGACCAAAGACUGCCAGUGUGUAAUUUAGCAGUUGUGCUCAGAGCGAUGGCGAUUUUGUGUCGGAAGGGGGUGUUAAUGGUAGAUGAGCGUUGUUUUCAAUGUGCUUUUGUUGUUUUGGGUUUCCUGUAACAAUAAAUCAACCUGUAAUGAAAAUAUGAAAAA
Long non-coding RNA from Haemorhous mexicanus (house finch), 4083 nucleotides. RefSeq lists it as uncharacterized. The transcript has 5 exons. NCBI's taxonomy places the organism in Eukaryota, Metazoa, Chordata, Aves, Passeriformes, Fringillidae. The record is from RefSeq and is a predicted model, not a curated record.